Molecule: long non-coding RNA, 9275 nt
Organism: Zingiber officinale
Lineage: Eukaryota; Viridiplantae; Streptophyta; Magnoliopsida; Zingiberales; Zingiberaceae
Exons: 6
Source: RefSeq, a predicted model, not a curated record
GCGAUAAAGGCUUAUAGGUAGUUUUAGGUAUGUUGCUACCGCUGUUUUUCUUGGGGCCUAAAAUCGAAGUCUCGUUAGGGGAAUUCGUAACCUUCGGCAGCCUCUCUUCCCUCCGGCGAACGUUCACUGCGCUUAGGGUAGAGCAGGCGCAUCAACUCUCUUCUUCAUCUGCAUCGCCAAGCUACCCUUUGCUCAGCCGAUUCCCCUGCUAUUGGGUUCACCUGCAAGUAAUCCUCGCGCGCUGAUCUCUCCUCGCUAUCAGAAGGUCCUUUCUUAGGUGUCAGUUAAACUUCGAAUUGUAGAGCAAGUUUUCCUUUCAAUUCUGUCUAUUGCUGGUUCAGGAUAGAUUCUAAACAUGAGCCGUGUCUUUCAAGGGAAGAAUGUUAGUGAUCAAUAUAAUUGUUCGGAUAGAUGGGUGAAAUUAUUUCAUCUGCUGUAUGAUUUUAGAUGAGAAUGAUGGUGGAUUUAAGGUCGAGGUGAGCGUCAUAAAGAAAACGUGUAAAUGUUAACCACAGAGUAAACACCUUGACUCUCCCAACCACACGCUAUCUGCUUGUCAAGUAUGCAUCAAGGAUGGCAAUCACUUCCUACUCUGGGAAGAAUAUGAAACAUGGGAAAAGGGGGAAAAAAAACUUUGUCCCAAGAAACAAAGGUAACAGUGAUCAAAGACUGCGAUUGAAUUGUGAUGCCUUAUCUGAGAAAGGUCGAGGUGAGCGUCAUAAAGAAAACGUGUAAAUGUUAACCACAGAGUAAACACCUUGACUCUCCCAACCACACGCGAUCUGCUUGUCAAGUAUGCACCGAGGAUGGCAAUCACUUCCUACUCUGGGAAGAAUAUGAAACAUAGGAAAGGGGGAAAAAAAAACUUUGUCCCAAGAAACAAAGGUAACAGUGAUCAAAGACUGCGAUUGAAUUGUGAUGCCUUAUCUGAGAAAGGUCGAGGUGAGCGUCAUAAAGAAAACUUGUAAAUGUUAACCACAGAGUAAACACCUUGACUCUCCCAACCACACACGAUCUGCUUGUCAAGUAUGCACUGAGGAUGGCAAACACUUCCUACUCUUGGAAGAAUAUGAAGCAUAGAAACGGGGAAAAAAACUGUCCCAAGAAACAAAGGUAACAGUGAUCAAAGGUAUGCUCUACUGAAGCCCUCAUCAACUCGACUUUUUGAUCCACCAUAACAUGUUUUAAUGAUUUAGGCAUCAAAGGAUUGACAGCUAUCAAUGUUCAUCCUUAGUCCGCAAGCUAACAUUGUCCAAUAUGGGGAACCAACCAAACUUUUCCAGAUCUUCUCAUUGAAGAAUAAUAAUUAAUACAUUAUUCUUGGAGACUACUUAAACUACAACUUUACUCCAGAACUAACAAACCCUGUGAUGCUGAAGCUAUAUUUCUCAUUGGUCGUGAAAUGUUGACUUUAUUUUAUGAUUUCUGUUAGGUAAAUUGACUUAUAUAUCUCAUCUUCAUCUUCCAAUCAUGUUGGUCCUAAAUAAUUGGGUGUGCAUCUAUUGAAACUUAUAUGGCUAGUAAUAUUUAGAUCUUCUAAAUCACUUUUAGUUACACAUUUAUUUGUGUGAUUGUUAGGAAACAUGUAUUAAAAUUAAUUUAAUAGAGAUGGGAAUGUUAAGACGGUUACAUUACUGGAUAGGAUAAAAUAAAAGAUAUAAGAACAUGUUCAAAGGUGAUAAAAAAAGAUUCUAUAGGUAGAAAUAUUGAAUUGAUUAAGUGGAAAUUGGAAGGGGUAGAGGGAGAACAAAAAAAAAUAGCUUAAUAAAAAAUGUGUUAAUUGAUUUAAGAAUGACUAGUGAUGUAGCAUUUCAUUGAGCUCAAUGGUAGGGACCGGAUAAGAUUCAUAUAGAAACCCCUAAAUAGUUGGUACACACACCGGUAAUGAUAGUCAUGCUGAGUUGUUUGUGACUCUUAAAGGGUCUCAUUACCCAUAUGUACAAGCCUCAAAUGGAAACGGGCUCUCUAUGCCUCAAAUGGAGACACUAGAGACAUUUUUCAAGUUCAUUUAUUCAAUAGUUGAUACCACUUUGGUAUCACUAACAUUAGAUACUUCAAUAUUGUCUGCAUGUUCAGGACAUGCAGCAACAACAACAACAAUAACAACAAUCAAGUCAUAUAUUAUUAGGUAAGGUCGGCUAUAUGGAUCCUUCUAUGUCAUUGGGCUCUGUCCCUUAUUAUAUAAUUAUCUUUAUUUAAAUAAAUUUAAUACUACUUUUAUCAUUGUUAAUCAGGUCUUCUUUGGUCUUCCACUUCCUCCCUUAAUCUGCAUAUUUAUCAUAAUUUCACAUCGCUUAAUUAGAUCAUUUAUUGGUCGUUUAAGUGCAUAUCUGCAUCAUCUUAAAUAUGUUUCUCGGUGUUUUUUCUCAAUAGAUGCAAUCCUGACUUUCUAUAAUAUUUUCAUUUCUUAUCCUCUCCAUCAUAUGUCCACACAUCUCCCUUAAUAUCCUUAUCUUUGCGACUCAUCUUCUGCUUGUAUGCUCGAGUCAUAGUCAAACAUUCAACUAUAUAUAACAUAGCAUAUCUAACUGUCAUUUUGUAGAAUUGACCUUUAAGUUUUAGAGAAAUUUUACGAUUAGAAAGAAUAUCUCUCCUCAAUUUUAAUCAUCCUGCUUGUAUUCUAGAUAAGACAUCUCUUAAUCCCUUCAUUCUUUUGUAAAAACGAUCUUAAAUACUGAAAGUUCUCGGGUAUAGAUAACUCAUCAUCUCCUUUUGUUCAAUACAUGCAAAGUUAAGAAACAUUCUGAAUUACUUCUUCUGUUGGUUUAACAAUUGCAAUUUUCAAAUGAGAUGGAGGUAAUGAAAAUUAUAGAGAUAGCCAUGACAUUCUACUUUACCUUCCCAAAAGAAAUUUCACUCCCAUGGUGUGCAAUAUCAAAAUUGCUGUGACAUUUUUAUUUUCUACAGAUGUGUUUUUGUUUGUUCUCUUGAGCAUUCCUUUCCCUAUCCGAGGUACCUGAUGAAAUAUUUUAUAUGCUUUCCUUUUAGUGGGAUUGAGGGAAAAUUGAUUUGAUUUUGACAUCUUCUCUUGCUAGAGCUUGGCAUUUACAGUGUUAGUGGGUAAUGGAGGUGAAAUAGGAAUGCUGAGAUGGAGUAUAAUCUUCCCUUUCAGAAGCACUCACAUAACUUAUUGCACAUUGUAGGUAGGGACUAGAAUGUUUUUUUUUUUCAAGUUGGAAUAAGUUAUAUAGGAAUAUUUUCACCUGAACUUUCUUUUUCUUCUACAAUUGAGACAAGUAAUUCAAAGUUAAUGGUCUGAUCUAUUGUGAAAAAAGUCCAAGAUAACUAAACCAAUCUAUAUGUAAUGCAAACAAGGAGUCAAAGGUUUGAAAAGUUUUAGAUGAUUCAUAAGGAAUUGACUUAAAUUUUGAUUUUGGAAUUUGAUUUCUAGGGUUUCUUUAAUGAUUCAAAAGAAAGCUUGAAUCGAUUUUGGUGUUGCAUCAAUAUGUUUUUUCUUACUAACAAUGGGAAUGACUUUUACUACUAAACAAGCAUGUAUUGGUGCUUAUUUUUUGUUCUUUAACGUCAUGCAAAGUGAGAACCUUGUGGCAAUUUUGGCAAGUCACUUGAGUUUUAGGUAAUUGAAUGAAAUAAAUAUUUUCAUAAACUCACCACUUUGAAGAGAGGAAAUAAGAUGUGGUCAUCAGGUUACUCUACCUAGACCAGCAGAAUAGAGUUGGGUGUGAGAAUUAGUGACAAAGUCAUCCAAACUCAUCUGCUGCCAUGUUAUCAAAAGAAGAAAAGUAGAUUGCUUUCUUUUCUCUGUUUAUCUUGAAAAAAAUAUGUUGCUUAUAUUUCACCCGCCUUUUUGUCCUUUUUUCUCUCUUAUGACUUCUAGAAGUUAUUUGCCGAUUGAGCUUUAUAAACUAGCAAAUCUUAUUCUAUAAGAUCAGGCACGAUAUAUGAAAGUGUAAGUAUCCCGGGUUAGUUUUGAUGCUGAUCAACCAAGUUAAGUUAGGUCAUGUGUGUUUGAUGUCUUAUGUCUAAGUGUGCAGGAACUUAGGAACAAAGAAAUCGAAUGGAAGACGCAGCGAGUGAGAAGGAUGACACGAGAAGAGAGUCGACGAGUUCGGUGCAUCCGAGGGACGAAAAGUUGUGGAAGAGUACAUCAGUGGAGCGAGAAGGACGCGCGAGGCGUAUCUGAGGGAUGAGUAGCUAUGAGGAAAACUACUCGAGGAGAAGUCGAAGUUGGGUUCGGGUGAGCUCAAUUCUGGAUGGUUGGACCAUCACCUAAGGGAGUGGAGUCAGAAAAUGGUCACCUCGAAAGUUGCCCAUUCGAGGCAUCUCCGAUUGAACGGAGUCACCCUGAUGACUUGAAGACUCGAGGUGCCUUAGAUUGCUUGAGGCGCCUCGAAUGGCUAAAGAAGUUGUUGUUGCACGGGACUCGAGGCGCCUCCGAUGAACCGAGGCACCUCCAAAGAGUUGGAGCCGUUGCCGAAGGGAUAAGCCGUGGAGUUCAGCUCAGCCUAACCAAAGUGCCUCCAACAUGCCAGAACAGUUUAACGUUGGCAGCAAUAAGGAUAAAGUUUAUCCAGUUGGAGGCGCCUCCAAGCAUUCGAGGCGCCUCCGAAGUGCCACGUCAGCAACGGUCACUUUUGAUCAAUGGACUAUAAAUAGAGCCCUAAAGCCAGUUGUAAUGCAAAACACUUUGUAUUCAAUUUUGUAGUUGGUUUUGCGCUUUCAAAUGUUGUAAGGGGCUACUCCGCCUCCGACUUUGUAGAAGAAGGAGCUUGAUAAUGCAUUCUAAAGUUUUGGAUUAACAACCACCCAGGUUAUAACCAAGUAAACUUCUGCCUCUUAUUUUAAUCUAUGUUAUUGUUGUUUUUAAUUAAUUAGUGUGUCCUUGCUAAGUAAGUAGCAAGAAAAGUUGUAAUUUCAAUUUGCAGGUUAUUCACCCCUCUAGCCGGUCCAACCGAUCCAACCGAUUCAACCGAAAGAUCUAGAAUAUAGAAGGAAACAUAAGAAGAGUAUGAUCAUAGUCUAAUUAUUUUUAAAUGAAGCUAUUUAUGAUUCCAUUUAGAAGUUUAUCCUUAGUUAUGGUAGUAUCAGUCUCCUUGAAUUCAUGUACUAGAAUCUGUUUUGUAAGAAUAAACUUUUUUUAUAUUAAUUUGGAUAACUUUCAUAGUCGUUAUUCUUUAUUUUUUGUGAAAUUUGGUUAUAAGAUGCAAAUGCAUACUUAUUAAAUUGCUUCCUCUAAUACUUAGGAACUUAGGAACAAAGAAAUCGAAUGAAAGACCCAGCGAGUGAGAAGGAUGACACGAGAAGAGAGUCGACGAGCUCGGUGCAUCCGAGGGACGAAAAGUUGUGGAAGAGUAUACCAGUGGGCGUAUCCGAGGGAUGAGUAGCCAUGAGAAAAACUACUCGAGGAGAAGGUCGGAGUUGGGUUCGGGUGAGCUCAAUUCUGGAUGGUCAGACCAUCACCUAAGGGAGUGGAGUCAGAAAAUGGUCACCUCGAAAGUUGACCAUUCGAGGCAUCUCUGAUUGAACGGAGUCACCCUGAUGACUUGAAGACUCGAGGUGCCUUAGAUUGCUUGAGGCGCCUCGAAUGGAUAAAGAAGUUGUUGUCGCACGGGACUCGAGGCACCUCUGAUGAACCGAGGCACCUCCAAAGAGUUGGAGCCGUUGUUGAAGGGAUAAGCCGUGGAGUUCAGCUCAGCCUAACCAAAGUGCCUCCAACAUGCCAGAACAGUUUAACGUUGGCAGUAAUAAGGAUAAAGUUUAUUCAGUUGGAGGCGCCUCUAAGCAUUCGAGGCGCCUCCGAAGUGUCACGUCAGCAACGGUCACUUUUGAUCAAUGGACUAUAAAUAGAGCCCUAAAGCCCGUUGUAAUGCAAAACACUCUGUAUUCAAUUUUGUAAUUAGUUUUGCGCUUUCAACUGUUGUAAGGGGCUACUUCGCCUCUGACUUUGUCGAAGAAGGAGCUUGAUAAUGCAUUCCAAAGUUUUGGAUUAACAACCACCCAGGUUAUAACUAAGUAAACUUCUGCCUCUUAUUUUAAUCUAUGUUAUUGUUGUUUUUAAUUAAUUAGUGUGUCCUUGCUAAGUAAGUAGCAAGAAAAGUUGUAAUUUCAAUUUGCAGGCUAUUCACCCCCUCUAGCCGGUCCAACCGAUGCAACCGAAAGAUCUAGAAUAUAGAAGGAAACAUAAGAAGAGUAUGAUCAUAGUCUAAUUAUUUUUAAAUGAAGCUAUUUAUGAUUCCAUUUAGAAGUUUAUCCUUGGUUAUGGUAGUAUCAGUCUCCUUGAAUUCAUGUACUAGAAUCUGUUUUAUAAGAAUAAACUUUUGUUAUAUUAAUUUGGAUAACUUUCAUAGUCGUUAUUCUUUAUUUUUUGUGAAAUUUGGUUAUAAGAUGCAAAUGCAUACCUAUUAAAUUGCUUCCUCUAAUACUUUUCAUAGUUGUAUGCUACUGGUAGCUUUUGGAUACCUUUUCAUUGUGAUCGUUAGUACUUAGAAAGUUAGUAUAUGACCACCUAAUCUUGUGCACCUUUUGGAGCCUGUGGUUUCAAAUCUCAAGUUUCACUGCUAAGUAGAUAGUUUUUCUCUGCCCUUAUGAAAUUAUGUUACAUUUAGUUCCUUUUUAACCGCUCCAAGCAUUUAACAAUCUCCCUAUAAAUGCCAUCCUUAAUCUAAGUUUUUCUUCUUGUUUGUCUCUUUUAUAAGAUGAUCUACUUGUGAGUUUUGACUAAUUAAGGAACUUGCAUGAAUUCUUCAUUUUGUUCCUGGAAAUUAAUUUUUUUAUAUCAACAUCUCACUAGAUCAUCUAAACUUGUAUACAGCUGCUGCCUUCACAUUGUACCAUGAUGGAAAUAAGACCCUUUUACAGAUAAAGAUCCCUACUGAAAUUAUGAGGCAUCUCAUAGCCAAGAUUAUGAAGUUUCCUACGUGGAACAAGCAUCUUUAUCCUCAAGAUCACGAAGAACCUUUCUUUUGAUCAUUCUUUUUUCAGCUAAAGAUGGAAGAGUUUAUUUCUAUUAUUAUACUAUUCUUUUUUCAGCUAAAACUGCAAAGGAGGAGAAUAUGGUAAGGCAAACGGGAUGUAUGUAUGAGGCAGCGAUGCCAAAAGGCAUAUCAGAAUGUGAUACUUAGAACUGUGAUGGAUGAAUAACAUGCACAUGCUUUUCCACAGUUACAGGUGACGGGAAUGUAUGCUGAUUCAUUUCAGUUGCAAUGCAAAUAGGCAUGUUAAAAUGUGGUUGAACUAUGCUGGAUGCAUAACAAAUUUUUCUCCACAGUUGACACAUGACGGGAAUGCUUGCAGAUUCAUUUCAUUUCCUUUAUUAUUAUUAUUAUUUUUUAAGGUUAGAUUCAUUUGUUCAUUCUUUGAACUGCAGAGUUUCUGAUGGCAAGUUAGAACUCAAUGUUAUUCUGAGGAUGCAGGUGGACUCGUAAAGCCUUGUGAGUUCACAGAAACUCAAUCCAUUAUUGUCAGGUGCCAGAAAGCAAAAUUAGACAGACUUCCAUGCAUUGAAAAUUUACUACAAAAAAGGCCAGAGUUCACACACCAGCUUGCAUGAUCUACAUACAUACGUCUCAAAACUAUACAAACACAAAGUUAAUUAGCCAACGGUUGUCAGGCAUUCGAAGCUACCAGCUCUUGCAAAAGAGGACCUUAUUUCAUCCUGGCAUCGUCCAAUAGGAUUACCAUUUUCAAGCCCCCCUGAUGCUUUGCCUCUGCGUUUGCAAAUGCUUGUACAUUUUUCACAAACAAAUCUUGCAGGCGGAUCCUCUGAAUCGUCAAUUCCAGCACACCUGGUGUGAUGCCAGACUCCGCAGACAUCACAGGCCAUCAUCCUCUCUCCAUCAUCAUCCUUGGCGCCACAAGAACAAUCAACAAUCCAGUUGUCCAACCCUCGUUCCUUUCUGUAUUGCCCAAGGUUUUGGUUGUUGCCAUCGCAUCUUCCUCUGAUCUGAACCAUCCCACGUGAGCCGAACAGAGUCUUGAUUGGGGUCACAUCACUAGCAUCUUCAUAAUUGACUAGUUGCUCAACUUUAAACCUUUGGAAUAUCAAAUAAGUCUCUUGGAAUGCUUUUGUAACCAUCUUUUUUAGGUCAAAAAUGGUGGCUUCCACCGGCAUAACCAAGAGUUCUGGUGGUAGGACAAUGUAAUCAUCUGGAUAGUCAACAAGUUCAACAUGACACCAUAGAGCCAUGACAAAUGGAUUUGUCGGCAACAGGUUUAACACAGGCUCAUCAUAGUGCCUUAUAAGUUGCUUGCAGUCAAGAAGCUUAAAGGCAGAAUUGAGAGCAGCUUCUCUCACGGUUUUAGGCCUGUACGGCUGCAUGGUAAUUGGAUUGAGCAAACUGUCAUACAAGAAUCUAAGGUCAUGGACGAGCUGCCCUCUAGACAGUCUGGGAAGACAAGGAGUGGCAGCCAACUGGGAAUUUGUUGCUUCAAGCCUGAAAUUUACAAUGUCACAAUGCCACUUAUUUCAGAUGUAACAGAAAGGAGCACGCUGCCAACUGCAAUAUGAUAGAGCUACAAGAUUUAUUUGAAAUUACCUGUAUUCAAUUGUCUUUGAAUCCAGAUUGUAGCGAGCAACUAUCGAUCCAUUACUGACUUGUUCUCCAACAAUAACCUUGAGACAAUAGUCAAGCAGUUCAGGUGGCUUGAUGGCAUGGCAUGAGGCCCGUCUAAGGGCACGCCAAGUCACCCAUUGAGGGCCCACAACAGCUCGAAGAAACUUAAUUACAGUUGCCUUAGCUAAGUCCACUUGAUCCCUCGACCAAGCACAAAGAGCUCCAACUGCAGCCACUUCUGCAGAUUUGUGUCCAGGAGGAGGAAAGUGUAGCAGCUGCAUGAGAUAGCAGAAAAGGUCUCUGAUGGUCAAUAGUUGACAGUCCGAGAGGCUACAAUACAAGCUAAUAGUGUUCUGCAGUUGUGUCCGGGGGAAUCUAGUGCCAGAAAGGAAGAUAGAAAGUUGCAGACUGGAAAGGGUGUCGACGGCCUUCUGAUAUGACUCGGCAGUGAGAGCAAAGCUGCCAGUGCCAAACUUAUACCCCCAAUUCCCGUACCAAGGAUGACCAACGGUGACAGCGUGGAGGAGGCGGUAGUCCAUCCCAUGUUUCUUGGAUAUAUCCAUGACGCUCACCUUCCUGUUAGAGAAGUAAUUUGGUCAUAUCCAGAUAGAUACAUGUAACAUAAAUCAAGGUAAUAAAUCAAUCUUCCACAUCAAAACUGCUAUAGAUGUAAUCAUAUUGAGUACGUUGUUAAGGUGUCAUUAAUGCACGACCAACUUGUUUACUUGUACAGUGAAACACUAAUGAAAUUGCAUUAAAUCC